This 466-nucleotide ribosomal RNA is filed under the name uncultured bacterium. RNAcentral describes it as "SSU rRNA". It matches the Rfam family "Bacterial small subunit ribosomal RNA", at positions 26 to 518 of the family's 1533-position model. The record is from RNAcentral.
AGGAUUAACGCUGGCGGCGUGCCUAACACAUGCAAGUCGAACGAGGGGGGCAACCCCCUAGUGGCAGACGGGUGAGUAACACGUGGUCAACCUACCGCUUUGUGGGGGAUAACCAGCCGAAAGGUUGGCUAAUACCGCAUACGUCUUCGGUCGGCAUCGACUGAUGAUAAAAGGAGCAAUCCGCAAGGUGACGGGACCGCGUCCCAUUAGCUAGUUGGUGAGGUAAUGGCCCACCAAGGCUCCGAUGGGUAGCUGGUUUGAGAGAGCGACCAGCCACACUGGGACUGAGAAACGGCCCAGACUCCUACGGGAGGCAGCAGUGAGGAAUUUUCCGCAAUGGGCGAAAGCCUGACGGAGCGACGCCGCGUGUGGGAAGAAGGCCUUCGGGUCGUAAACCACUGUCGAAGGGGAAGAUAUUGACGGUACCCUUGGAGGAAGCCCCGGCUAACUACGUGCCAGCAGCCGC